AAAAUGUCAUGUUUUCUUGACAGCUUUUCAGUUAGUGAUCUUGUAUAUGACAUGAUUCCUGCUAUUGGGUUCUAUCCUCGUGAACGAAACCCCUUCUGUUAGUUGCUAGCACAGAGCUUUUAAGAGAUCAAUCAAUAGCUAAUUAUGAUCAAAAUUCACAUUCACGUUUGCAUGCUAUGGUAUACACUAAGAAGGCAGAUUUCUACUUGAGCAGUGUUUAAUUUUCUUCUCUUGCUUCUCUAGUGUAGGACGUACUUGGGAUUGAGAAUUGCUUUUCCGAUAGUUGAGUAGGCACGAAUAUAAUUUCAGAGCUUUGCUAUAUGUGGUAAACCUGUGUCUUAUCUUGUUAAUAUUCAUGCUCCCUUGGCCUCAAGGAAAUGACGGCGUUCCUUUGGCCUUUAGGAAAUGAUGGUGUUGGUCACUGCUUGAUGUCUGAUCAUUUUAUGUGAUCGAUUCUGCAGGAUUGAUAGAAAAUUUAGUUCUUAUGAUAAAUUCCAAAGGUAAGUACUUCUCUUUCUUGCAAAUGUUAUUUCUUACACCGUGAGAGGAUACAUUAUUUUGGUAGGAACAUAUACAUCCUACUGUCAAAACAUUUCAGGAGGAAAGAAAGCUCUAUAACGUGCAUUGCCAAUUGCUUUUUGCCCUUUGGAGCGCUUCAUGAAGGGGGGGUUCCAUGUCUACAUAUGUGUUAUUUCAUUAUUUGAGAAUGGAUUCUCUUUGCUCUGUGCUGUUUGAUAAGAGUUCUGCACUGUACUUUGAAAGCUGGUCGUUUGUGGACGGCUGAGCAUAGUUACUCUUUACUGCGGCCUUUGAAUGGUCCAUUCAAAGCGUCGAUGCAAUAGAGUUCAUUGAAGCGACUUAUUCCUGGAAAUAAGAAGGCGUUAAAAUAUUGUCAUUUCUAUUUGGU
RNAcentral lists this unclassified non-coding RNA (907 nucleotides) under Hevea brasiliensis (rubber tree). Lineage: Eukaryota; Viridiplantae; Streptophyta; Magnoliopsida; Malpighiales; Euphorbiaceae. The record is from RNAcentral.